UAGCUGCGUCUAAUUAAUCGGGCUAAACAAAUAUGAAUUGAAGUAAUAAUAUAAGUCAAAUAAUUAAAAGGCUCAACAUAAUGCAGCCUAAUAAUUAAUUAGGAGUGCUCGGGUUAAAGUAAUGCAAUUGGGCUAAAAUAAUAAUGAAGAGGUCCAAGUAAUAUGAUAAUUAUCUUGGGCCCAAAUGAUUAAGCAAGUAAGUAGUUGGGCUCAAUUAAAUAAAUAAUAUGAGGUCCAACUACAUAAAAUUCAAGCUCAUAGUUUUAUCUCUUAGCCCAAGAAUAGAAUGAUUUAUCCUGGGCUUGAAAUUAAAUAAAAAUCAGCCCAACUGACAUGAUACAGCAGCCCAAAAAAAAAUGAAUAAUCAAAGGCCCAGAUAAAUAAAAUCAGAGGCCCAAUCAGCAUUUAAAAUCGGCCCAAUUUAUGAAUUAAAAGGGGAACCCAAUUCUCAACUCCCUCACUCUCGGUUAUCUCUCUCCCUCUCAAACCAGUCGCGCCUCUCUCCUCCCUCUCGAAUUCUGCCGCCUCCGUCUCCGGUCGGCGUCGACUGCCGCCGCGCCUAAGCCCGGCAUUCUCCUCCCUCUCUCUCUUCUGUAUGCAAGCCCCAGGUCUCUCUCUCAAAUCAGACACUCCCUUUGGUCAUCUCUCUUCCUCUCGAUCCGUCUUCAGCCAAGGUGUCCGCCGCCGCGGCUCCGGCGCGGCCGUGCCUGGCCGAGGGCGGCGCCUCUUGCCGUCAUACUCUCCUCUCUCUCUCAAAUCAACAGAAACAAUGGAAGCCCUACUCCCCCUUCCAAAUCGAGCCCUAGCUCUCCCAAAAUCAGGAAUCGCCGCCGCCACUCCUGAAUUCCGGUGAACGGCGGUCGAACCUCCUCCCUCACCUCCAUCUCUGCCUUCUUCGCUCUCAAUUUCCAUCGAAGCUUGAGCGAGCCCUAAUUUUCUUCCCUUCUUGAGGUGCCGCCGCCGCCGCUGCAACUGGAAGGCCGACGAGAUUCGCCGUGCCGCUGCACCCGUAGCGGCGUCCGCUGGUCGUUAGGCCGCCGAGGGCGCCGAUCCUCGGCUGCCCCCCUCUUCAUCUCACUACCUUCAUUUCAAAAUCGAGUGCAAAGAAUGAAGGGAGGAAGCAUAAUUUCCUCAGUCUGAUAUCGUCUCCGCCGUUGCUGCUCUGCGGUUUUCGGCUAGUAGGGGAAAGCCCGCCGUUAUAGUUAAUUACUUGACCUCAUGGGACGGAACCUAGUUGGGUUAAUUGUUUAAUAACAAGGACUAGUGAUAAAGUUUCCCUAAUUAUUAUCUCAGUAAUAAAAAGGAAUAUGAGCCAUGCAUAA
Molecule: long non-coding RNA, 1322 nt
Filed under: Salvia miltiorrhiza (redroot sage)
Lineage: Eukaryota; Viridiplantae; Streptophyta; Magnoliopsida; Lamiales; Lamiaceae
Description: long non-coding RNA (SMIL_LNC013064)
Source: RNAcentral